This 437-nucleotide long non-coding RNA is filed under the name Taeniopygia guttata (zebra finch). Its description in RNAcentral is "lncRNA (ENSTGUG00000019718.1)". Lineage: Eukaryota; Metazoa; Chordata; Aves; Passeriformes; Estrildidae. The record is from RNAcentral.
GAGUGGUUAACAGCCAGUUGUAUUUUUCUGAAUCCCUCCCAUACAGUCUUUCAGUUUCCAUCUUCUCAGUUAUCCCAAAUAAAAGAUUAAGGCUUUGGGGUUAUCUUCUCUGCAAAAAUAUACUUACAGAGGUCCCUCCAAGAGCAGCAGCAACUCGUUCCUACAGCCAGAGCUGCUGGGCACCAGAAAGGAACUAAAGAGCAAUCCUGAAAAAUAUCUCCUGGGAUGGAAAAAUUCUGAUCUUUGAGAAAACAGAGGAACUGCUGUGUGAGAGGAAAAAUGUCAAUUUAUUUGGAGGACAGGUGAGUUUGUUUACUAAACUAUGCAAUCUUCAAGUCUGUCUUUGAAAAUGCACGGUCAGUUUAAGAGGAGGUGCUUUCAGCUUUAGAAAGCACUGGUAAACGUCAAAAUUAUUUACAUUUUUCACAUAAUGGACC